UACGGAGGGUGCAAGCGUUAUCCGGAUUUACUGGGUUUAAAGGGUGCGUAGGUGGGCGAGAAAGUCAGUGGUGAAAUCUCCGGGCUUAACCCGGAAGCUGCCAUUGAUACUAUUUGUCUUGAAUACUUUGGAGGUAAGCGGAAUAUGUCAUGUAGCGGUGAAAUGCUUAGAUAUGUAAUAGAACACCGAUUGCGAAGGCAGUUCACUAGGCGUGUAUUGACACUGAGGCACGAAAGCGUGGGGAUCAAACAGG
This 253-nucleotide ribosomal RNA is filed under the name uncultured bacterium. RNAcentral describes it as "partial 16S ribosomal RNA". It matches the Rfam family "Bacterial small subunit ribosomal RNA", at positions 524 to 776 of the family's 1533-position model. The record is from RNAcentral.